Molecule: small nuclear RNA, 151 nt
Filed under: Prolemur simus (greater bamboo lemur)
Lineage: Eukaryota; Metazoa; Chordata; Mammalia; Primates; Lemuridae
Description: U1 spliceosomal RNA (ENSPSMG00000010974.1)
Rfam family: U1 spliceosomal RNA
About the family: U1 is a small nuclear RNA (snRNA) component of the spliceosome (involved in pre-mRNA splicing). Its 5' end forms complementary base pairs with the 5' splice junction, thus defining the 5' donor site of an intron.
Source: Rfam by way of RNAcentral
AUACCUACGUGGCAGGGGAGAUACCAUAAUCAUGAAAGUGGUUUCCCAGGGUGAGGCUUAUCCGUUGUACUCCAGGUGUCCUGACCCCUAUGAUUUCCCCAAUGUGGGAAGCUUAGUUAACUACAUAAUUUGUGGUACAAAAGAUUCUUUA